CCUACGGGAGGCUGCAGUCGAGAAUCAUUCACAAUGGGGGAAACCCUGAUGGUGCGACGCCGCGUGGGGGAAUGAAGGUCUUCGGAUUGUAAACCCCUGUCAUGUGGGAGCAAAUUAAAAAGAUAGUACCACAAGAGGAAGAGACGGCUAACUCUGUGCCAGCAGCCGCGGUAAUACAGAGGUCUCAAGCGUUGUUCGGAAUCACUGGGCGUAAGGCGUGCGUAGGCUGUUUCGUAAGUCGUGUGUGAAAGGCGCGGGCUCAACCCGCGGACGGCACAUGAUACUGCGAGACUAGAGUAAUGGAGGGGGAACCGGAAUUCUCGGUGGAGCAGUGAAAUGCGUAGAUAUCGAGAGGAACACUCGUGGCGAAGGCGGGUUCCUGGACAUUAACUGACGCUGAGGCACGAAGGCCAGGGGAGCGAAAGGGAUUAGAUACCCUGGUAGUC
RNAcentral lists this ribosomal RNA (446 nucleotides) under uncultured bacterium. RNAcentral describes it as "partial 16S ribosomal RNA". It matches the Rfam family "Bacterial small subunit ribosomal RNA", at positions 338 to 795 of the family's 1533-position model. The record is from RNAcentral.